This 3350-nucleotide long non-coding RNA is filed under the name Mytilus galloprovincialis (Mediterranean mussel). The record is from RNAcentral. Lineage: Eukaryota; Metazoa; Mollusca; Bivalvia; Mytilida; Mytilidae.
GUUGGUUGAAUGGCAUAUAUAACAAACAGAAAAAAAGACACACACAAACUAUAAUAAAAUUUUAUUAAGUGUCAUUUUCAGCAAUGACUAUACCAUAAAGUAGUCAAACAAAGAUAGAAGACAGAAGUAGGCGGGGCAAGGGGCGUGGCAGUGUUCUUGACUGGCAGUCGAUAUGUAUAAAUAUUCAGAUCAUAUUUGUGUUUAAUAGCUUGUGACUAUUGUCUCUUUAUUGCUUGAAAAUCAUUGGGUCUUCACAACCAGAUAUCACAUUAGUGUAAUCCUGAACUUCAUCAUAUUAAUCUUGAACUUUAUUGUUUAAAAAUAUUUUUUUUCUGGUCACAUUCAAGUUCAUAGUAGAAAAUGCCCUGCCCACUUCUUGUCUUCACUUCAACAUUAUAAACAUACACAUGUAAUUUCAAAAAACUAUUUUUUAAUAGCAUUUGGUUUUAAUUUUGGCUAAAUUCUCUAUGUAACAGUUAUUGAAAAAAAAUAUGUUGGAAGUGUAUUAUAUGAUAUUAAAUACAAUCAAAUGUACAAAUGUUCAAUUAUUUACUUGUUUAAUCUACAAAAUAGGCACGAUCUCUUUAAAUUUGGAUGAAGGAUGAUAUGAGUUAACUCCCCUCUCAUACAUGAUUUAUGUCCCUUUGAUGAACUAAUAUUUGCAUGCCAACAAUAUGUUUUGAGAUUCAAAUAUUGCAACAUUAUAUGAAAAUCAUAGAUUGAACAUUUUACUGAAGCCAACAAAUAAAAAAAAAUAGUAAUACAUAAUUUUAUACUUUCAAGAUUUCUGGACAUAUUCAAAAACAUUAGAAAAACAGAUUUCAUUGUGAAACCAAUCAAUUUCAUUUGGUGCAAAUUUUCAUCUUAAUAUAUCCAAAUAUUAAAUACAUGAUGUAAUUGUUACACAAUUGUAAAAAAAAUCAAUAUCUUCAACACAAAACAUUUAACAGAUCUUAUCCAAAUAAAAACAAUGACAGUUCUAGAAAUGAAUAUCAUCCCAUAUCUGACCCCCCCCCCCUUUUUUUUUUAUUUAAAGAGCCAAUUUUGAAACAGUUAGCAGCAAAAUAAUCUGUACUUAUACAUUCCAGCAAAAUUAAAAUAAAAUUGUUUUUUUAACUUUCACCACAGAAGAUUCAAAUUCUCAAAAUUUCCAGAUUUUACUUAUGAGGUUGUAUAUCAUUUCUUAACUUGGUAAUUGAGACACAUUAAAAAUAUCCAAAAUAUAGAUGUAUACAAUUUGUAUGUAAAUGUUAACAAUUUUCUAAUUGGUAAAAAAACCCAUUUUGGUUGUGGCAUUUUUUUUGUUUUUAAAAAAAAAUCAUACAGUGAAAUGAUUUUUUUCAUGUCAAAAUUUCAUAUACAUCAAAUUCUUAAAAAAAAUCUUGGCUUUUAAAAGUUCUUAACAAUAAAUUGAAGCCAAAAAAUUAACAGCCAUCUUUUAUUUUGAUGCCAGAACAAUAAAAGACCAUAGAAUUUUCAGCUAAACACUUAUAUUUAAAUGUACAUCAGAUUGAGUGAAAGAAAAAAAAAUAUGAAAAAUUCAGCACCAUGUUAUAAAAAUCUUUUGGCUACCCUACAUUUUAAAGGUACAAACUAAAAAAAAAAAAAAAAAAAAUCAGUCAGGAAUGAAAAAAUAAUGCAAAUGGUCUAUCUAAAAUAUCAGCUGAGAGAUAUGUUUGGUAAAAAUCAAAAUUGGUCAAAAAAAUGUUAAAAAGUUUGUUAAUCAAAUAUACAAACUCGCAUGCAUGCACAUUCAUUCAUUUUAAACAAAGUAUUCAUUUUUUUUGAACAUAACGAAAUAAAUUAGUAGAUUACUAUAUAAUAUAAUUAUAGUCUUACACAAAAACUUUUAUGAAGUGGACAAGAAAUUUAUUGACCAAAAUUAUUAAACUUCUAUAUUCACCAAGGUCAAAGGCUGAAGUUACUUAUGGUUUUGUUUAUUUAGUUUAUAAACUUCAUUUCUACUUAUUAAAACAAAAUAAAUGUUUAAUUCUGAUAUUUUUUGUCUAUCUCAUAUAAAAAUUUUCUUUCUUUGAUCAAUCUGUGUGCCAUAUACACCUUAUAUCUAACACUGUAUUAAUCAUUCAAUACAAAUAUUCUUACCUAAUCUGAAAAAAAUCUAGAUUAAUAUAACAAAGUAUCUUGUUUACCAUGAGUAAACCUUUUGUUUCAAAUUAAAUAAGGUGGUACCCAACACUUUAACUAAACUUAAUUUGGCUCGUUUAAUUUUCAUAAAAUUUUGACAAAGUAUUUACUUUGACCCUUUGACAAAAAUAUAAAAAUUUCAAAAAAUUUUAGCCAACCGUUUUAUCCGAAAAAUUACACUGGUUAUAUAGCAGUUUGACAAACACUUAUUUUGAUCAUCGAGAAGCUUAAUAUUCCCUAAACAACACAACGUAGUUAAAACGAUUAGCUCAUUUUACAGAGUUAUCUCCCUGUAGUGUUAGGCCUUAAGUCUAACAAUUCACAUCAAAAUAUAAGAUAAUUUCAACUUCAAAAUAAGAAAAUUUGAAACAGAUUUUUCAUUAUUAUAUCCUCGAAACCUUUAACCAAUAUUUCAGACAUAAUUUCAGCUUUGUUCACACAUAUACACAACGACCACACAUGCACACACUUGUGACUUGUACAUACCUGUAUUAUCACAUAUCACUCAGACAGAUGGCUAUAUUACAAUGUGUUGAUGCACUAUGUACAAAUUAUCUGAGCAGACGGCAAACUGCACCAUGUUUUGUUUACAUUUCUGUAGUCAUGACAACAUCAAAAGUUGUCUUGGUUAUUUGUUUACAAAAUUAUUCCUUUUUAAAAUAUUUAAGGACAUAUUUAGCAUCUAUAAAGGAAAAAUAACCCUUUUCAAACCAAUAUGUAUUUAAAAAAAAAAAAAUUGCAUAUAACAAGUCAUGAACUCUUAAUCUUUGAUGAAUUAAAAAAAAACCCAAACAGUAUUCAAAAUGUUUUGGAACUGUGGUUGAAUUAAGGUGGUACCUAACACUUUCACUAAAAUUAAUUUGGCUCGUUAAAUUUUCAUAAAAUUUUGUCAAAGCAUUUACUUUGACACUUCAACAAAAAUAUAAAAAUUAAAAAAAAAUUGAACCAACCGUUUUGUCAGAAAAAUUACACUGGUUAUAUAGCAGUUUGACAAACACUUAUUUUGAUCAUUGAGAAGCUUGAUAUUCCCUUAACAACACAAUGUAAUUAAAACGUUUUAGCUGAUUUUACAGAGUUAUCUCCCUGUAGUGUUAGGUAUCACCUUAAAUGAUCAAAUUUUCAUAUUGUCUCAACUGCAGAAAUCUGAUUUAAAUUACAUGGACAUGAUUCAAAUAUAUUAAAACUUAAUGAUUGGAACUAAAAAU